AACGAACGCUGGCGGCAUGCCUAACACAUGCAAGUCGAACGAUGCCUUCGGGCAUAGUGGCGCACGGGUGCGUAACGCGUGGGAAUCUGCCUUUCGGUUCGGAAUAACUCAGGGAAACUUGAGCUAAUACCGGAUAACGUCGCAAGACCAAAGAUUUAUCACCGAAAGAUGAGCCCGCGUAGGAUCAGCUAGUUGGUGAGGUAAAGGCUCACCAAGGCGACGAUCCUUAGCUGGUCUGAGAGGAUGAUCAGCCACACUGGGACUGAGACACGGCCCAGACUCCUACGGGAGGCAGCAGUGGGGAAUAUUGGACAAUGGGCGAAAGCCUGAUCCAGCAAUGCCGCGUGAGUGAUGAAGGCCUUAGGGUUGUAAAGCUCUUUUACCCGGGAAGAUAAUGACGGUACCGGGAGAAUAAGCCCCGGCUAACUCCGUG
RNAcentral lists this ribosomal RNA (433 nucleotides) under uncultured bacterium. Its description in RNAcentral is "partial 16S ribosomal RNA". It matches the Rfam family "Bacterial small subunit ribosomal RNA", at positions 29 to 507 of the family's 1533-position model. The record is from RNAcentral.